CNGAAGACUCACACCCACGUACGCCUGGC
Molecule: non-coding RNA, 29 nt
Filed under: Homo sapiens (human)
Lineage: Eukaryota; Metazoa; Chordata; Mammalia; Primates; Hominidae
Source: RNAcentral